AUAAAAAGUGAUAACUUUUAGAUGAAGUAACAUAACAGAAAGUGAUAACUUUUAGAUAAACUGAUAUGUAAAAAACGGUAGCUUUUAAAUGAAGUGACAUAAAAGAAAGUGACAACUUUUACAGAAAGUGACAACUUUUAGAAAAAGUGGCAGAUGAAAAGUGGUGACCUUUUAGAUAAAUCGUCAUGUGAAAAGUGAAAAGCUUUU
This 207-nucleotide long non-coding RNA is filed under the name Carica papaya (papaya). RNAcentral's name for it is "long non-coding RNA (CPAP_LNC001605)". The record is from RNAcentral. Lineage: Eukaryota; Viridiplantae; Streptophyta; Magnoliopsida; Brassicales; Caricaceae.